GCUUUUACGGUUUUCCCUUAAGCAAAGCAACCAAAUUCAGCACACUCACAAUUCAAGAACUAGUGAUGGCUGCCGCCACAGCUUCUGCUACACUAUUCUCUCCAUUUCUUCCUUCCCCAGGAUUUCAUGAGUCAUGUCGAAGCCUAAAUUGGAGAACCCACAAGAUAGCGAGUAAAGCUGGUACUGUUAAAGUUACAGCUAAAUUUGAGCUGAAUCCUCCACCUUAUCCUAUGAAUGCUCUGGAGCCUCAUAUGAGCCGGACUACAUUUGAAUAUCACUGGGGGAAGCAUCACAGAGCCUAUGUUGACAACUUAAACAAGCAAAUAGUCGGAACAGAACUGGAUGAACUGACGCUAGAGGACAUAAUACUUGUUACAUAUAACCAAGGCAAUCUCCUUCCACCAUUCAACAAUGCUGCACAGGCUUGGAACCAUCAAUUCUUCUGGGAGUCUAUGAAACCUGGUGGAGGAGGACAGCCAUCUGGUGAACUAUUAAAAUUAAUCAACAGAGACUUCGGCUCCUUUGAAGCAUUUGUUAAAGAAUUUAAGGCAG
RNAcentral lists this unclassified non-coding RNA (552 nucleotides) under Hevea brasiliensis (rubber tree). The record is from RNAcentral. Lineage: Eukaryota; Viridiplantae; Streptophyta; Magnoliopsida; Malpighiales; Euphorbiaceae.